GACGAACGCUGGCGGCGUGCCUAAUACAUGCAAGUUGAGCGCUGAAGGUUGGUACUUGUACCGACUGGAUGAGCAGCGAACGGGUGAGUAACGCGUGGGGAAUCUGCCUUUGAGCGGGGGACAACAUUUGGAAACGAAUGCUAAUACCGCAUAAAAACUUUAAACACAAGUUUUAAGUUUGAAAGAUGCAAUUGCAUCACUCAAAGAUGAUCCCGCGUUGUAUUAGCUAGUUGGUGAGGUAAAGGCUCACCAAGGCGAUGAUACAUAGCCGACCUGAGAGGGUGAUAGGCCACAUUGGGACUGAGACACGGCCCAAACUCCUACGGGAGGAAGCAGUAGGGAAUCUUCGGCAAUGGACGAAAGUCUGACCGAGCAACGCCGCGUGAGUGAAGAAGGUUUUCGGAUCGUAAAACUCUGUUGGUAGAGAAGAACGUUGGUGAGAGUGGAAAGCUCAUCAAGUGACGGUAACUACCCAGAAAGGGACGGCUAACUACGUG
RNAcentral lists this ribosomal RNA (497 nucleotides) under uncultured bacterium. RNAcentral's name for it is "partial 16S ribosomal RNA". It matches the Rfam family "Bacterial small subunit ribosomal RNA", at positions 28 to 507 of the family's 1533-position model. The record is from RNAcentral.